Molecule: small RNA, 126 nt
Filed under: Marmota monax (woodchuck)
Lineage: Eukaryota; Metazoa; Chordata; Mammalia; Rodentia; Sciuridae
Source: RNAcentral
GCUGGGCAUGGUGGUGCAUGCCUGUAAUCCCAGUGGCUCUGGAGGCUCAGACAGGAGGAUAGAGGAGGGGGAAUUCAAAGCCAGCAAUGUUGAGAUGCUAAGCAACUCAGAGAGACUCUGUCUCUA